Non-coding RNA from Peromyscus maniculatus bairdii (prairie deer mouse), 2934 nucleotides. The record is from RefSeq and is a predicted model, not a curated record. Lineage: Eukaryota; Metazoa; Chordata; Mammalia; Rodentia; Cricetidae.
ACCACGAGCAUCACCACAGUCUCGGCUGGAAGCAUCGCUGAGUGGAGCGGUCCCGGGAGAAUCUCCAUCCUCAAGACCUCUCUGCAACUCGCGCAGCGGGAAACAUCGUGUCCGCUUUGAAAUGGAGAACCGGAGAAGUGCCGAGGACCAAAACAAAUGGGAAAGAAGAGCUAGGAAGUAGGACAGAGAAGCAAGAAGUUCCGAUGCGGAGAGAAACGGGGCGGGGGUGGGGAGACAGGGCAGGGAAUCCAGGGAGUUAAGGGCAGCCAGGAGCCGAGCUAUGCCGGAAGAAGCUAUGCCGCACUGCACAGCUUCACCGCAGCUCUGGACGUGCAGCAUGCUGGUGCCCUUACGACGAGCAGUGACCAGUGUCACCAAAAUCCCUCAAUGGGUAAGAGCACCGAUAAAACCAAUAGCCAGAGCUGUGGGAUACUGACCAAGGGAGCUGCAGACACACGUGGAACCAGCCCAAGAGAGAGAAAUGUAUUCCAGUCAACAAAGCUGGAAGGGUGGAGCCGAAUAAGCCCUUUGACACAGGACUUAGAGACACUGGAUUUGGACUUUGUCCUGCUGAGGUUUGGUCCAGCAUUUCCUCACUGUGUCCCCUUUCCUUUUGGAAUGGUAAUGUAUAUCUUGUGCCAUGGCAUAUUGGAUUUUAUUAAGUGUUACAGUUAGGGAGAAUGCCAUGAGUCUCAGAAGAGACUUUGGACUUUUAAACAGUGUUGAGAUUGUGAAAGGCUAUGGUAGCUUUUGAAGUGGACUGAAUGUAUUUGCAUUAUGAUGUAGCUACAAGCUUGUAGGGGACAGAGAGUGGAAUGUGGUGGUUUAGAUGAGAAUAUCUGUCAUAUAUUUGAAUGCUUGGUCCCUAGUUGGUGGAACUGUUUUGGGGUGACUAGGACAUAGAUGGAGUUUUCCUAAGCUGGCAGCCACUUCCCAAAUAACUGACUCGGAGACUUAAUAUAAAUUACAAAUGCUUGACCAAUAGCUCAGGCUUGUUACUAACUAGCUGUUACAACUUAACCCAUUUCUAUUAAUCCAUGUGCUGCCCCAAGGCUCGUGGCUUUUACCUCUAUCCCAUUUUGUGUGUCCAACUUGUUCUACAUCUGGCUAGUGACUCCUCUGACUCCACCCUUCUUCAUCCCAGCAUUCUCUGUGUCUCAGGCUGUCUCACCCAACCCCUGUGCAGCUUUUGGCCAGUCAGCUUUUUAUUAACAAUGAGAGCAAUACAUAUUUACAAUGUACAGAAGGAUUACUCCACAUUGCGAGGAUGUGUGGCCUUGUUGGGGGAGGUGUGUCAUUGUGGCUGGGCUUUGAGGUUUCAAAAGCCCAUGCCAGGCCCAGUCUCUUUUGUUCUAUGCAUCUCGUUUAUGGAAAAGAUGUAAUGUCUCAGCUACUGCUCCAGCACCAUGCCUGCAUCCCUGCUGCCAUGCUUCCCACCAUAGUGGCCAUGGGCUCACCCUUGGACACUGUAACCAAGCCUCCAGUUAAAUUUUUUCUUUUAUAAGUUGCCUUGGUCAUAGUUGUAAGCAUUCUGUAUAUGUGCAGCUCGGGGGUCUUGUCUGGUGCCUUAUUACGUCAUCAGCGGGCGACUGCGUCCCAGCCUAAAAGCCGAACAUGCACCCCCACACUCUCUCUGCACCUCUCUCUCUCUCUCUCUCUCUCUCUCCUCUCUCUCUCCUUCUCCUAAUAAAGCUCUAAAGGGUACCACUGGGUUCUGUCGUGACUGUGACCAGCACCGCCACGGUAACCAGUGCCAGCUACCAGCACUGUAUACCCUUUCAAUAGUGUCUCUUCGCAGCGAUAGAACAGUAGCUAACAGACCUGCCAGGGCCGGGAGACGGUGUCCGAUGCCCUGGAGCUGGGGUUACAGGCACCUGUGAGCUGCACGUGGGUGCUGGACCAAACCCAGGAGGAGCAGCAAGUGCUCUUAGCUGCUGAGCCAUGCGCCCCCCCCCCCCAGUACAACUAUUCUUAUAGCUAUUCCUGGGGUAUAUGAACAAUUCUCAGAGGAAAACGGAUUUUGAACAGAAACAGUUAAGCAGUCCUGCUUUCUCUUGCUAAGCCUGUGGUACCUCAUCAUGGUUCCCUCAACACACAAACAAGGAAGUGGAGGGACUUUGUUUCCUGCCUGGGACCCCCAAGAUGUAGACUGUCCCUCUGUCCAUCACCAGAAUGCCCAGGGCCUGCAAUGGUUCCAGUCCCUCCAUCUUUGAUAUGCAUUAGCCAGGGUUCUCCAGGGCAUCAUAAGGGACAGAAUGAACAUAUGUAACAAAGGGCACUUGUUAAAUUGUCUUACGGGAUACGGGAUGGACAGUGCAGCAAUAGCCGUCUGAAUUCUGCAGAGGUUGAGUGCCUUGCAACUGUCUCGUCCACGAGGCUGGGUGUCUUACCAGUCCCGAUCUGGCACUGAAGGCCUGGAGGGAUCCUGGAGAAUCAUUAGUCUUCAGUCCACCUUGCAAAGCUGAACAGGCUGGGUUUUGAUGUCAGGUAGUGGUGGAGGCAACAUCAGAAUAGACGCACUCACCAGCAAGAGGCAAAGGCCAGCAGGGAGGUCUCCCUUCCCCUUAGACCUUACCGUCACUGGGCAGACUGGAAAGUACUGCCACUCUACGGGCUUGUCUCCCCGCCCUACCACCAGCUAAUGUUUCCUGGAGAUGCUCUCACAGACAAGCCAGGCUGAUCUCUUACAUGGCCCCAGAUCCAAUCAAAUUGACAGCCAAAGUUAGCUAGCACACUUGUCAGAGGUUGGGAUGUCACCCUGGGUCUGGCCCCUUGGUUGUGACCUUUGAACUGGCAUUGCCUCCAAGGCUCCUGUCUCAGUUAGGGUUUCCAUUGCUGUGAAGAGACACCAUGACCACAGCAACUCUUAUAAAGGAAAACUCUUAAUCGCAGCGGCUUGCUUGCAGUUUCUGAAGUUCAGUCCAUUGUCAUCAU